UCUCCGUAGGUGAACCUGCGGAGGGAUCAUUACCAGAGAUGGCGGGCUUUGGCCCCCGUCCUCAACCCUUUGUUGACCAAAACCCUUUUGCCUCGGGGGCAGAGCGUCCGCCGCCGCCCCCGGAGGACCACCGAACGCUGUCUCUGUACGUCGGAGUAUUGAUUAAAUGAAUGAAAACUUUCAACAACGGAUCUCUUGGUUCUG
This 204-nucleotide unclassified non-coding RNA is filed under the name plant metagenome. Its description in RNAcentral is "partial contains small subunit ribosomal RNA, internal transcribed spacer 1, and 5.8S ribosomal RNA". The record is from RNAcentral.